AUUGAACGCUGGCGGCAUGCCUUACACAUGCAAGUCGAACGGCAGCGCGGGAGCAAUCCUGGCGGCGAGUGGCGAACGGGUGAGUAAUAUAUCGGAACGUGCCCAGUAGUGGGGGAUAGCCCGGCGAAAGCCGGAUUAAUACCGCAUGAGACCUGAGGGUGAAAGCGGGGGAUCGCAAGACCUCGCGCUAUUGGAGCGGCCGAUAUCAGAUUAGCUAGUUGGUGGGGUAAAGGCCUACCAAGGCAACGAUCUGUAGUUGGUCUGAGAGGACGACCAGCCACACUGGGACUGAGACACGGCCCAGACUCCUACGGGAGGCAGCAGUGGGGAAUUUUGGACAAUGGGCGCAAGCCUGAUCUAGCAAUGCCGCGUGCAGG
RNAcentral lists this ribosomal RNA (377 nucleotides) under uncultured bacterium. RNAcentral describes it as "bacterial SSU rRNA". It matches the Rfam family "Bacterial small subunit ribosomal RNA", at positions 29 to 407 of the family's 1533-position model. The record is from RNAcentral.